This 1201-nucleotide ribosomal RNA is filed under the name uncultured bacterium. RNAcentral's name for it is "bacterial SSU rRNA". It matches the Rfam family "Bacterial small subunit ribosomal RNA", at positions 32 to 1253 of the family's 1533-position model. The record is from RNAcentral.
AGGGAUGGCGGCGUGCUACACAUGCAAGUCGAGCGGAGGUUGCACUGUUUGUGUGACCUUAGCGGCGGACGGGUGAGUAACGCGUAGGCAACCUAUCCUAAGCACUGGGAUAACACUGGGAAACCGGUGCUAAUACCAGAUUAAGCAUUUCUAUGGCAUCAUAGAAGUGUCAAAGGAGUAAUCCGGCACAGGAUGGGCCUGCGUCCGAUUAGCUAGUUGGUGAGGUAAAGGCUUACCAAGGCUGCGAUCGGUAGCCGAACUGAGAGGUUGAUCGGCCACAUUGGGACUGAGACACGGCCCAAACUCCUACGGGAGGCAGCAGUGGGGAAUAUUGCGCAAUGGGGGAAACCCUGACGCAGCAACGCCGCGUGAAGGAAGAAGGCCUUCGGGUUGUAAACUUCUUUGAUCGGGGAUGAAUAAAUGACGGUACCCGAAAAACAAGCCACGGCUAACUACGUGCCAGCAGCCGCGGUAAUACGUAGGUGGCAAGCGUUGUCCGGAAUUAUUGGGUGUAAAGGGCAUGUAGGCGGGAAGGUAAGUCAGAUGUGAAAUCCUAAAGCUAAACUUUAGUGCUGCAUCUGAAACUGCCUCUCUUGAGUGCUGGAGAGGAAAGCGGAAUUCCUAGUGUAGCGGUGAAAUGCGUAGAUAUUAGGAGGAACACCAGUGGCGAAGGCGGCUUUCUGGACAGUAACUGACGCUGAGGUGCGAAAGCGUGGGGAGCGAACAGGAUUAGAUACCCUGGUAGUCCACGCUGUAAACGAUGGAUACUAGGUGUAGGAGGUAUCGACUCCUUCUGUGCCGGAGUUAACACAAUAAGUAUCCCACCUGGGGAGUACGGCCGCAAGGUUGAAACUCAAAGGAAUUGACGGGGGCCCGCACAAGCAGUGGAGUAUGUGGUUUAAUUCGAAGCAACGCGAAGAACCUUACCAGGGCUUGACAUACUAGGGAAUACCUCAGAGAUGGGGUAGUUCUUCGGAACUCUAGUACAGGUGGUGCAUGGUUGUCGUCAGCUCGUGUCGUGAGAUGUUGGGUUAAGUCCCGCAACGAGCGCAACCCCUGUGUUAGUUGCCAGCAUUUUGUUGGGCACUCUAGCGAGACUGCCGGUGAUAAAUCGGAGACGUGGGGACGACGUCAAUCAUCAUGCCCCUUAUGUCUGGGCUACACCACGUACUACAAUGGCCUACCUACAGAGGGAAGCGAU